AAACGUUUAGUAUAGUACCAGACUAAUUAGGACUAAAUUUUUAUUUUUAAUUACUAGUUAUGAAAACUUCUAAUUGAACUCACGAACUUCCAAACUAACAAUCAUACUUAUUUCAGAAAACCCACGUCACACUUAUUUCAAAGAACCCAUGUCCUAAAAUUAAUCAACAUUUCAGACACCAAAAAAUCAAACUUGUUGCCUGCAUCCAUGAAAUGGCAGAACAAGAUGAAUCAGGAAGAUAACUAAGUUUAAAUACCAUCUCCGUCAUCUUCUAAAUUCAAUGAAUUAAAAAAUAAAUAAAUUCUUUUUGGUCUUUAUUUUUUUUUCUCUUAACUUGUUGCCUGUAGAUCCAUGAAAUGGCAGAAAGAUGAAUCAGGAAGAAUCCCCAAUUUGCACGAUGAAUCUCCCUUCUCUCGCUGCAAGACGAAUCCCUAAUUUGCAAGACGAACACCUCUCUCAGCGGCAAGAUGAAUCCCCAAUUUCUCUAAUAUAAAAAGUCAUACAGAAGAAGAUGACGGAGAUUACGAAGCAGCCAAGACGGAAAUGACCCAGUCGACGAGGAGGCAAGCCUAAGCCAAAACCAAAUCAGCAUAUUCAAAGCCACAGCCAUGGCGCUUGUGAAGCAGCGAAGGAUAAGAAGAUGACGGAGAUGACCCAGUCGACGAGGUCAUCGUCGAAGAUGAAGCGAUCGACGAGUUCAUCGUGGGAGAUGAAGCCGUGCCCGAAGCUUGUGCCUUCAAAAUCAAGGUCGAUGAGGUGAUUUGAGCAGGAAGAAGAAGUUCUUAGCCAGUCCCAUGGUUUUCGUUGGGACAAGCUAAGACCGUUUAGUGAGGUCGCUAAUGAAGGCGAGUCUGGGAGAAAUUUUUCAGCGUGGCCGUCACGAGGUGUACAUGACGUGUACCUAUAUAAAGUGUGAGAUAUGUGUAUUAAAAGGUUAAUAACUUAAAAAUUAAAAAUUUCACAACUUA
Long non-coding RNA from Pyrus x bretschneideri (Chinese white pear), 968 nucleotides. RefSeq lists it as uncharacterized. NCBI's taxonomy places the organism in Eukaryota, Viridiplantae, Streptophyta, Magnoliopsida, Rosales, Rosaceae. The record is from RefSeq and is a predicted model, not a curated record. The transcript is spliced from 2 exons.